GGUUGCCAGGCUAGUCUAGAAGACUGCCUACUCUAGGCUCUUGACCAAACAAGCCUACCUGAUCGCCCCACCACUGCUCAUUGAGUCCUGUCAAUUUUGCUUCAAACAUCUGCCUCACCACCUGUUUCCUUCCAUCUUAAUCUCCAUUUUCAUACGAACAAAAAACGACAGUAUCUUGUCACAUAAAAAUGUCCGCCAUUGUUGUGCCCUAUAAUUAAGCUCCAUCGCCACCCAUCCACGUCAUCAAGAUGCGCGCAACGGAAUGUUGGCAGAUGGUUGUGGUGGAAUAGUACGGUAAUAACUCUACGCACAUCCAUAAUUAAUCAUGAUCUCUUUGCCACGUCAUGAAUAAAUAUUUGAAUACUUUU
This is a long non-coding RNA of Caenorhabditis elegans, 368 nucleotides long. Ensembl annotates it as ncRNA. Its record names the gene linc-47. NCBI's taxonomy places the organism in Eukaryota, Metazoa, Nematoda, Chromadorea, Rhabditida, Rhabditidae. The record is from Ensembl.